Grus americana (Whooping crane) is the source of this 2509-nucleotide long non-coding RNA. RefSeq lists it as uncharacterized. NCBI's taxonomy places the organism in Eukaryota, Metazoa, Chordata, Aves, Gruiformes, Gruidae. The record is from RefSeq and is a predicted model, not a curated record. The transcript is spliced from 2 exons.
UCCAGCUUCUGAGCAGCCUGGAAGGAGUUUUUGCCGACGGCUCCCAUGCCAGCCGCUUAAAAAACCCCGACUGGCGGCACCAGGGUCCCAGUGGCAGGUUAUAAUGUGCCGGGAGGAGGUGCCGGGCACGUGCCCAUGUCCCUGCAGUGCCCUGCUGCAGUUGUGGGGCGGCAGGCUCAGCUGUGGGAGUCGCUGGGGACAUCGAGGCAGCUGAAGGCACAUGAUGACUGUAGAGCCUCAGAAACAGGGCCAGCAGUGAGAGACAGGCAGAGCCGGCAUGCCAGCAUGCUGCCAGCGCGGGCACCACCGCGCGUCCUUUCCCUGGGCACAGGCAGCUGCACUCUGUGGGCAAACCUGCCCCUGUUCCCCAGUCGUGCAAGGGGGAAGCUGGUUUCCAGGGGCUGGCUCCCAGGGCACGCUGCGGUGCUGCACAUCACUCCUUGCUGAAAGCACGGCAGACCCUUCCUGGGGGUGUGCACAGAGCUGGGGUGCUGCCCAGCGGGGCCAGCAGCAGGGCAGAGGCUCUGCAAAGGCAUAGGGGGGCAGGAGGAUCCCUGCAGCACCUCCGCUGGCUCUGGGUCCCUGUGGCUGUUCCCACACUUGGCCGGGGCUCAGGGCUGGCCCGGUCAUGGCUGUAUGGAGAUAAUCCCACACCGGCCAAGGCUGCUCCCAAGGCUUGGAGCACCACAGGGCUCUUUUCCCCACUCUUUCCUACCAAGAACUGGGGGCAACAGAUGGGGGAGCCAGGCGCAUUGCACAGGGUUUCUGCCCCGGUUCCCAGCUGGGUGCACCAGGCCGGGGGGGGGGGGGGGGGGGCCGGUGCCGGAUGCAGGGGCUCACACCGGAGAUGCGCCAUCUGCUUCUCGUCAGGCUGCUGGGAGUGCCGCGGCUGCCGGGGCCCGGCAGCGGGACACAGUUGUGAUAGAUGGUCUGUUUAUCACGUUUCAGCUCUGCUCAGGAUGUUAGCAUUCUCCUGCGAAAGACGUUAUUUGGGCUCGGCUGCUCCCUCUGUCCUCUCUCUCCUCCUUCUUCCCCCCGGAUCCUCACCCUCAGGUCCGGACGGGCUGCAGCCUGUCCAGACCCGAGGGUGAGGAUUGGGGGGGGCAUCACUCUCUCAACCCCUGGUCCUUGCCCAUGGGAAGGGCUGGGCUCAGCCCUGCCACCCUGGGAAUGGAUCUGGCUUAUGUCUGAGCUCCAGGAGCAGAGGCUGAAGCCUUCCCACAGGUGCUGGCCAGCUGCAGGCUCUGCGGGGACAGGGACGGGGAGGGGAAGGACUGUGGAGACUUUCACACGCUCCUCGUCCCCCUGGGGUGGGGAAGGGGCAGAGGGCAGGGAGGGAUGCGCUGUGCAAUAUCCAUGGCGCCAUAUCAUCCUGGGGGUGUCCUGACCCUGCUGAGCAGCAGCCCCAGGCCCUGGGGGGGCGGAGCUCCCGUACCCCUUGCCCUCUCGCCCAGCUCCACACCAGUUCUUGGAAUGGGGGUAAGUGGAUUUGGAGGCAGAACUUCCCCGUCUAUCCCUGCCCCUUUCUGUCGCUGCAGAGAUGGGGCCAGGCUGAGUUGCCAAGCCCAGGUGUGUCCUGCCAUCAUGUUGGGGCUGGGCAUGGGGAUGGGGGCACACAGCUCUGGAGGGGGGUGAACCUGUUUGCCUGCACCCCAGCUGGGCAGGCAGACACACAACCUUGCCAUAUCACGACCCACGAAUGCACGACAGCCACAGCAAGGGUGGCUGCAGGCUCCUCCAUGUCUCCCAGCCCAAGGUGCAGUGCUGCAUCUCUGGUCAAUUGGGAGUCUGAGAUGAAGCACUGUAGCUCGGGAAGGGAGGAACUGUGCACCCUGGGGACCUCUGGGAACCCCCCCACCCACUGGGACGAGUGGCACAAGGAGAGCUGACCCCCCCCCCCCCCCCGGUAUGGGGAAGGGCUCACCCCAAAGCUCCAGAUCCCUGUAAAAAGCAAUGGGGAGAGGAGGGUGGGGAGGUUUCUCAUUGCAGCAGAGGGACCCUCAUGUCUGCUCAGGACCCCUGGACCAGCUCUGGGCACCAGUGGGAGGGGUUGCACAGAAAUGUGGGAGCCUUAUGCAGCAGGGGGGACAGCAGGGAUGCGGCAGCAGCACCUCCCAUCAGCCACACGUGGAGCCUGGCCGGCAGCAAGGACGCACGGGGCUGGCAGAGAGCCCAGGUCGCCGUGCCCUCAGGGUCCAGUUUUCCCAGGAAUCCCUUAGGCACUAUGUUGGGGAUUCCUGGAAAUACUGUUCUUGGGGCCACGGCUUGGCAGCUGGAGAUGGCCUGUCCUGCAGGGAGCCACAGCCUGCAGAUGAGCCAGUGACCAAGGUAUGGGAUCACUUGGGGGAGGCUGCUUGGGGGGGGGCUGUGAGAGGGAGGGAGGGCCCCUGGCUACCCCGAAGGUAGGGCGGUGAGCCCCAGCUGGCCCAUGCUGUGGGACCUCGUGGACCACUCCUGCCUUGUGCAUGCCAUCUAGCCACCCUGGGGUCAAUAAAGGUCUCAACUCUGA